This 253-nucleotide ribosomal RNA is filed under the name uncultured bacterium. RNAcentral describes it as "partial 16S ribosomal RNA". It matches the Rfam family "Bacterial small subunit ribosomal RNA", at positions 524 to 776 of the family's 1533-position model. The record is from RNAcentral.
CACGUAGGGUGCAAGCGUUGUCCGGAAUUAUUGGGCGUAAAGAGCUCGUAGGCGGCCUGUCACGUCGGCUGUGAAAACCCGGGGCUCAACCCCGGGCCUGCAGUCGAUACGAGCAGGCUGGAGUGUGGUAGGGGAGACUGGAAUUCCUGGUGUAGCGGUGAAAUGCGCAGAUAUCAGGAGGAACACCGGUGGCGAAAGCGGGUCUCUGGGCCACUACUGACGCUGAGGAGCGAAAGCGUGGGGAGCGAACAGG